Molecule: ribosomal RNA, 253 nt
Filed under: uncultured bacterium
Lineage: Bacteria
Description: partial 16S ribosomal RNA
Rfam family: Bacterial small subunit ribosomal RNA
Source: RNAcentral
UACAGGGGGUGCAAACGUUGCUCGGAAUUAUUGGGCGUAAAGCGCGCGUAGGCGGCCACUUAAGUCGGAUGUGAAAGCCCCUGGCUCAACUGGGGAAGUGCACCCGAAACUGAAUGGCUUGAGUGCGAAAGAGGGUCGCGGAAUUCCCGGUGUAGAGGUGAAAUUCGUAGAUAUCGGGAGGAACACCGGUGGCGAAGGCGGCGACCUGGGUCGACACUGACGCUGAGGCGCGAAGGCGUGGGGAGCGAACGGG